Molecule: long non-coding RNA, 1293 nt
Filed under: Takifugu rubripes (torafugu)
Lineage: Eukaryota; Metazoa; Chordata; Actinopteri; Tetraodontiformes; Tetraodontidae
Description: lncRNA (ENSTRUG00000032106.1)
Source: RNAcentral
CAGGAAUUAAAAAAGAACGAACACAUCUGCUGGAUCUGAGCGGACCGGCCGGCCGAGCGUCUCGGACCCGCACAAACACACACAAACACACACUCACACUGUGUUGUGCGUCUUCUCCGGGCAACAGACGACAACACUCGGCCGCCAGCAGGAGCCAUGUGGUGCCGUAUUGUUUAGAGCCCUUUUUCCUGUUUCUGGAACAAGCGCUUCCCUUUGAAACCCCAGACUUUAACGCCAGAAACAUUCCGCCGCCAGCGAUAACACCUCUGCUCAGCAGAUCCCUGCUCCGGCCUCGGCUCCGGGCCGGGCCGGGCCGGCCCGGGCCGUCCACACACACCCCGGUGUUCGUCCUCUCGCACGUCGCCUUUUUUUCUGAUCUAUCGGAGCUCAAAGAAAAUGAAGAAAUGGUUUUUUUAUCGGCGUCUUGAAAGUUGCAGUGACCCUGAAGACCAGUCACGACCUCACCAGAACCAGCAGAACCCUCACAAUAAUUAUCCCAUAUGCAAAUCAUAGUGUGUGUGUGUGUGUGUGUGUGUGUGUGUGUGUGCGAGUGUGUGUUGUUUUACAGCCAUUAGGCUGGAAGGAAACACUUUUCCUUCUGAGUGUAUUUUAAGGAUUACGAUAAACACACCCUAACAAGGUGCCAUUAUCGUUAACACACUCUCACACACCUCACACACACACACACACACACACACACACACCUCUGUUGCAGAAAGGUCAGACAACACUUUGGUGCUAUCAGGACGCCGUCAAGAACAAAUACACGAACAGUUCUGGACGAUUUCACACAAAAUCUUUGUGAGACUGAUGAAAAUGUCCCCACAAACAUGUGAAACAAAUGAAAUAGUAAAGGAACAACAAAUUCGGGGUGUUGCAUCACCCUGAACAGGCUGACCACAGUGGUCAUGUGACAUCGAAGCAAGUCGCCUGUCAAUCAUCCUUUUAAUGGGAAACACAAGCCAUGUCCUCGUCAAACUUAGUCAAACCAUGGACAGCCAGUCUGGAUACUGGGUCUAUCAGGCUGUAACUGGUCGUACUGGGACAGAGAGGACGAAGACGAUUCCGAACACGAGUGGAUCGUUCGCACGUGUCGGCGAGCCUGAGACGGAGCUGAGAAAAAGGCUAAAAUUCAUUAAAUUUAGCCUUUUAUUUCCAUGUUUCCAUGUUUUCAUAUUUGAAGAUGCGUCUGUGGGUUUUUUCCACUGUAUUAAAAAAAUUUUAAAUUCAUUUUGCAGUUGUAUAAAUGAUCUUUUCCUCCCGCCUAUUUUAAACUACAUCCCCAAAUUACAC